AGGCUCACUUCAGCAGCAUAUAUACUAAAAUUAGACUGGUACAGAGAAGAUUAGCAUGGACCUUACACACAGAUAACACACAAAUUCAUUAAGUGUUCCAUUAAAAA
Molecule: small nuclear RNA, 107 nt
Organism: Ailuropoda melanoleuca (giant panda)
Lineage: Eukaryota; Metazoa; Chordata; Mammalia; Carnivora; Ursidae
Source: Ensembl